CACUGGGGUAGCUGUUGCCAGGGACGGCUGAACACUAUCACAAGCAGGAGACAACGAGGGCUCUCUCCAGCUCUGCGGGACAGAAGAGCAGCCAGGGACAGGGGUGCUGACCCGGCAGUUCCAGGUCUUAGUCAUUUCCACGCCCCAGCAGAAUGGCCCGCAGCACCCCCAACCUUCUGGGACUUGGACGAGCUUGGAGGAAUCCACGAGCAUUAGGGAGCCCUGGAGGAGGGGUGAAGGUUCAGGAAAGCAGCCAGGACCCAGCCGCGUCUGCCGGCCGGUACCCAGCGAGCCAGUCCAUCCGACACGCGUGGCACAGACACCGUCGUGGGUGAGACCAACUCAACAUCUUAGACGCGAGAGGGUGUGGGACGAGUUCCCCUUCCAACGAGUAAAUUGGCAGGGCCACUAAUUAAGUUGAAAGGAACGUCUGAGUCACGCUUCCUGGCCCGCUGUCUCCCUCUUCCGGUCUCCCACUCUAUCUGCGAGGAGCCCACUUCUCCCUGGGAAAACAGUGUGGUAACACAUUUGACACUAACGCAGACGCUAAUGAUCUCAAGUUGCUCCAACCAAAUCUGAGGAGUUUUGCUGUGAUACAAAUAAAUAUGUGCUUUGGGCUGUGAUUUUUUUUUCCAGCUAAGCUAUUUGGAGUCCCACACAUUUGUUUUCUCCCCUUUUUCUCUCUAAAUCACAAGGGUUUUCAGAAAUACAGGGUGUGCAUCUUGGGAAAGCGGAUGAUGUAGGGAAUGUGGGGAACCCUAAGUCGCCCGAGUCCUGUGGAAUAGGAACGUCAUGG
Molecule: long non-coding RNA, 796 nt
Filed under: Heterocephalus glaber (naked mole-rat)
Lineage: Eukaryota; Metazoa; Chordata; Mammalia; Rodentia; Bathyergidae
Description: lncRNA (ENSHGLG00100040966.1)
Source: RNAcentral